Haliotis rubra (blacklip abalone) is the source of this 411-nucleotide long non-coding RNA. RefSeq lists it as uncharacterized. The transcript is spliced from 2 exons. The record is from RefSeq and is a predicted model, not a curated record. NCBI's taxonomy places the organism in Eukaryota, Metazoa, Mollusca, Gastropoda, Lepetellida, Haliotidae.
CACCAAGUGUGGGAUGAGUGAGUUGAAUCAUGAAAUAUCAAUAGCACAGAAAAAUCAAAUUAAUAUGACAUCAAUAUUUCAUAUUGAUAUCACAUCAAUAUAUCAGUAUUUAAAAAAAAAAAAUUAAUCUGAAGUACUUACAUGAGCACAUUAUGUGGGAUACAUACAAAUACUGUUCCUGUAAUACGUGAUAAUAUGAUAUAUACUUAUGUUGUACACAUCUCAUAUGAUAUAUACUUAUGUUGUACACAUCUCAUAUGAUACCAUUAUCGGUGUUUGUACACAUCUCAUAUGAUAUAUACUUAUGUUGUACACAUCUCAUAUGAUAUAUACUUACGUUGUACACAUCUCAUAUGAUAUAUACUUAUGUUGUACACAUCCAUGUGUUAAUACUUAUGUUGUACAAAACAU